GCCUACACCUUCUCCUUCAGUUCAACCUCCACGAACUUGGAGACGAUCACCGAUCACCGGCACAGCAGCCGACUUCCCAGAAUCACCCCAACUCUGGGCUGUGUGAAGACCUGUGUUAGGAUUCUCAGAACCCAUGCCAAGAAACCGGAGGCAGAGCCUGAAAAAUUCCCAAAAGCCCCUGAGCCAGCUCACCUGGUGCACACAGCCAGAGACAAGAGAUCCUGCCACAGCCAUGGUGGAAAACAAGGGCUGCUGCACAAGGUGCUCCUCUGAACUGCACAUACCAGAUAUGUGUACCUGCAUUUGCAAAUGUGAACACACGCCCCUCUUGCAUACAUACACAUGCAUGCAUACACACACACACAAGAUAAAAAUAAAUGAUAAUAAAUGAAUAAAACAUUGUUAUAAAAAACACCUGAGA
This 421-nucleotide long non-coding RNA is filed under the name Rattus norvegicus (Norway rat). RNAcentral's name for it is "long non-coding RNA NONRATT004366". Lineage: Eukaryota; Metazoa; Chordata; Mammalia; Rodentia; Muridae. The record is from RNAcentral.